This 481-nucleotide ribosomal RNA is filed under the name uncultured bacterium. Its description in RNAcentral is "bacterial SSU rRNA". It matches the Rfam family "Bacterial small subunit ribosomal RNA", at positions 28 to 521 of the family's 1533-position model. The record is from RNAcentral.
GACGAACGCUGGCGGCGCGCCUAACACAUGCAAGUCGAACGAGAGAUGAGGAGCUUGCUCUUCAGAUCGAGUGGCGAACGGGUGAGUAACGCGUGAGGAACCUGCCUCAAAGAGGGGGACAACAGUUGGAAACGACUGCUAAUACCGCAUAAGCCCACGGCUCGGCAUCGAGCAGAGGGAAAAGGAGCAAUCCGCUUUGAGAUGGCCUCGCGUCCGAUUAGCUAGUUGGUGAGAUAACGGCUCACCAAGGCGACGAUCAGUAGCCGGUCUGAGAGGAUGAACGGCCACAUUGGGACUGAGACACGGCCCAGACUCCUACGGGAGGCAGCAGUGGGGGGAUAUUGCACAAUGGGGGAAACCCUGAUGCAGCGACGCCGCGUGAGGGAAGAAGGUUUUCGGAUUGUAAACCUCUGUCUUCGGUGACGAAAAUGACGGUAGCCGAGGAGGAAGCCACGGCUAACUACGUGCCAGCAGCCGCGGU